CAGAAAGCUCAGACACUGAAGAUGAAGGAGACAAGAUGUUGCAACCACGAGGGCUUUCAAAAUCUCGUGGGCAUCAAACACCAAAUCCAGAUGAGCGAUUUUUCCUGGUGGCAGAAUCCAGUUUGAAAGAGCUGCUAACCCAGUGCCCCUAUUGUGGGACCGAUGAUGUUGACAUCAACACCACAACAAGGGGGACAUGCUUGAAAGCUGUCAUGCGUUGCAAGUGUGGGAGGGAACGGUCUUGGCACAGCCAACCUUGGCUGGGGGG
This is a long non-coding RNA of Ornithodoros turicata, 268 nucleotides long. RefSeq lists it as uncharacterized. The record is from RefSeq and is a predicted model, not a curated record. NCBI's taxonomy places the organism in Eukaryota, Metazoa, Arthropoda, Arachnida, Ixodida, Argasidae. The transcript has 3 exons.